UGGGUGAUCUGCCCUGCACUUUGGGAUAAGCCUGGGAAACUGGGUCUAAUACCGAAUACACCUCACUGGUUGCAUGACCUGGUGGGGGAAAGCUUUUGCGGUGUGGGAUGGGCCCGCGGCCUAUCAGCUUGUUGGUGGGAUGAUGGCCUACCAAGGCGACGACGGGUAGCCGGCCUGAGAGGGUGACCGGCCACACGUGGGACUGAGAUACGGCCCAGACCUCCGUACGGGAGCA
Molecule: ribosomal RNA, 235 nt
Filed under: uncultured bacterium
Lineage: Bacteria
Description: partial 16S ribosomal RNA
Rfam family: Bacterial small subunit ribosomal RNA
Source: RNAcentral